ACACUCCUGCGGGAGGCAGCAGUGGGGAAUUUUGGACAAUGGGCGAAAGCCUGAUCCAGCCAUGCCGCGUGCAGGAUGAAGGCCUUCGGGUUGUAAACUGCUUUUGUACGGAACGAAACGGCCUUUUCUAAUAAAGAGGGCUAAUGACGGUACCGUAAGAAUAAGCACCGGCUAACUACGUGCCAGCAGCCGCGGUAAUACGUAGGGUGCAAGCGUUAAUCGGAAUUACUGGGCGUAAAGCGUGCGCAGGCGGUUAUGUAAGACAGUUGUGAAAUCCCCGGGCUCAACCUGCGAACUGCAUCUGUGACUGCAUAGCUAGAGUACGGUAGAGGGGGAUGGAAUUCCGCGUGUAGCAGUGAAAUGCGUAGAUAUGCGGAGGAACACCGAUGGCGAAGGCAAUCCCCUGGACCUGUACUGACGCUCAUGCACGAAAGCGUGGGGAGCAAACAGGAUUAGAAACCCCAGUAGUCCCAUGA
This 476-nucleotide ribosomal RNA is filed under the name uncultured organism. Its description in RNAcentral is "partial 16S ribosomal RNA". It matches the Rfam family "Bacterial small subunit ribosomal RNA", at positions 333 to 800 of the family's 1533-position model. The record is from RNAcentral.